UGCACGUCGAACGAGGCAGCGGCCUUCGGGCCGUUGUCGAGUGGCGAACGGGUGAGUAACACGUGAGGAACCUGCCCCGGAGACCGGGAUAACCAGGGGAAGCUCUGGCUAAUACCGGAUGCCCCCGGAUGGUCGCAUGGCCAACCGAGGAAACGCUCCGGUGCUCCGGGAGGGCCUCGCGACCUAUCAGCUUGUUGGUGGGGUAACGGCCUACCAAGGCAUCGACGGGUAGCUGGUCUGAGAGGACGAUCAGCCACACUGGGACUGAGACACGGCCCACACUCCUACGGGAGGCAGCAGUGGGGAAUAUUGCGCAAUGGGCGAAAGCCUGACGCAGCAACGCCGCGUGGGGGAUGACUGCCUUCGGGUUGUAAACCCCUUUCAGCAGGGACAAAAAUGACGGUACCUGCAAAAGAAGCCCCGGCCAACUACGUGCCAGCAGCCGCGGUAACACGUAGGGGGCAAGCGUUGUCCGGAUUUAUUGGGCGUAAAGAGCUCGUAGGCGGUUGCGUAAGUCGGAUGUGAAAACUCAGGGCUCAACCCGGAGACGCCAUCCGAUACUGCGCUGACUAGAGUCCGGUAGAGGAGCAUGGAAUUCCUGGUGUAGCGGUGAAAUGCGCAUAUAUCAGGAAGAACACCAGUGGCGAAGGCGGUGCUCUGGGCCGGUACUGACGCUGAGGAGCGAAAGCGUGGGUAGCAAACAGGAUUAGAUACCCUGGUAGUCCACGCCGUAAACGUUGGGCACUAGGUGUGGGGCCUCCUUAACGGGUUCCGUGCCGUAUCUAACGCAUUAAGUGCCCCGCCUGGGGAGUACGGCCGCAAG
Molecule: ribosomal RNA, 823 nt
Filed under: uncultured bacterium
Lineage: Bacteria
Description: bacterial SSU rRNA
Rfam family: Bacterial small subunit ribosomal RNA
Source: RNAcentral